RNAcentral lists this long non-coding RNA (1152 nucleotides) under Pogona vitticeps (central bearded dragon). RNAcentral describes it as "lncRNA (ENSPVIG00000023022.1)". The record is from RNAcentral. Lineage: Eukaryota; Metazoa; Chordata; Lepidosauria; Squamata; Agamidae.
AUGGAGCAUAUUCUGCAAAAAGUACAGGAACUACAGUCUCAGUCUGAUGGCCUUCAGCUAGAACUUAAGAGAAAAGAAAGUGGUUUGCAGAUGCUGAAGUUAGAGAGAGAACGACUUAGCAACCAGAUCACUGUGGCUGAUGAAACUUAUUCAAAAGAGAAACAAACUUUGGUAGAAAAAAUAGUUGAACUGAAGAGAAGAAAGGAACAAAAGGACAGAGAAGUCUCUGUAAAAGAAAUGGAGAUAUUACAAGCUAAGCAAGAACUGGAACAGCAACAAAUGUGCUUGAGUAAUAGACAACAGGCUAUUAUUGAGUUGAAAGGAAAGGUGAAGCAACAGGUGGAACUGCAGAAGGAAGUGAAGUUUCAGCUUUCUGAAAAGAGAAGGGAGUUCUUGAAAGUGCAGUCUGCUGUGCAUGAAAUAGAAAAUAAAAUCUUCAGGAAAACAGCAGCAAUGCAAGAACACAUUACUCAUGAACUACGGAAUGAGAUAUCUAUUCUUCAUCAACAAGUACGUGAGAGAGAGCUAUUAGCAGAACAGGAUCGGCUGUUAAGAAGCAAAAUGGUGGAUGAUUAUGCAACUUUGACCAAGGAGAAUGCCAUGAUGCAAUCCAGGCUCUUGGAACUUAACAAGCAAAGAGAGAUAGAGAGAGUACUCAAGGAGGAGAGCUAUACAGCCCUUUCUGCUGGUAUCAUGCAGUUCCUUGCAGUAAAAGAUCAUGAAAAUCAUCUGAAGGAAGAGAUUCAGAGGUACCAAGAACUCCUGGAGCAGGAAGAGAGUACCUUCCGAGACCUUCAAGAUAAGAUUAGCAUUUUGGAAAAGGGAAGUACCUCUCAUGACUUAAAAAUUGCAACCAUGAACAGCAGAAUAACUGAAAUUAGAGCUGUAUUAGACAAAGAGGAACUGGACAAUAUGGAGUUAAAAAGAGAUAAAUCUCUGCUGAUUGAUCUUGCAUCUGAUCUACAGAAGCAGUGUGUUAACAACACUGACUGAGCCAUAUUUCUACUCUGGAGAAAAUGUGGAAAGCUAUUUUUUCGCCUGCUAUGAAAUGGCAGAAGAUUUGCUAUACGGUGGAACCAUUCGAAACAAAAAGACAUACCUCCUUUUCUUUCUUCUUGGCAGUUAAUAAAUCAGCAGAAAGUACACUGUGCA